Molecule: small RNA, 2047 nt
Filed under: Pongo abelii (Sumatran orangutan)
Lineage: Eukaryota; Metazoa; Chordata; Mammalia; Primates; Hominidae
Description: retained intron
Source: RNAcentral
UUUAUUAUUUGAGACACUGGCUGUUUAGGAGUAUGUUGUUUACUUUCCACAUAUUUGUGAAUUUCCAGAGUUUUUUUUUUCUGCUAUUGAUUUCUAAUUUCAUUCCAUUGUGGUUGGAAAACACACAUUGUAUGACUUCUAUCCUUUCAAUUUUAUUGAGGUUUUCUUUUUUUUUUUUUUUUUUUUUGAGACUGAGUCUCGCUCUGUCGCCCAGGCUGGAGAGCAGUGGCACUGUCUCUGCUCACUGCAAGCUCUGCCUCCCGGGUUCACGCCAUUCUCCUGCCUCAGCCUCCCAAGUAGGUGGGACUACAGGCGUCCACCCCCACGCCCGGCUAAUUUUUUGUAUUUUUUAGUAGAAACGGGGUUUCAUCAUGUUUGCCAGGAUGGUCUCGAUCUCCUGACCUCAUGAUCCACCCCCCUCGGCUUCCCAAACUUCUGGGAUUACAGGCAUGAGCCACCGUGCCCGGCCUUAUUGAGGUUUUCUUAAUGGCCUAGUAUGUGGCCUUGAAGAGUGUUCCGUGUGCGCGUGAGAAGCGUGUGUGUGGUGGUUGUUGGGUGGAGUGUUCUAACCUGUUUAUGAAGUCUAGCUGUAGUGUUGUUCUUAUCUUCUGGUUCUUUGUUGAUCUUCUAGUUGUUCUAUCCCUUAUUGAAAGUGGGGUACUGGAGUCUCCAACUGACAUACUUUUAUUUUAGCUUUUUAUUUUGGAAAAUUUCAAACAUAUAUGAAAGAAGAGAUAAUGUACUUAACUCAUCACCCAGCUUCAACAUUUAUCAACAUCUUGCCAAUCUUAUUGAAUCUAUCCUUCCUUACCUUUUUUAAAAAUGUUUCCUAGAGUAUGUCAAAGCUCAUCCCAGAUGUCCUAAUGUUUCUAGUAAAUGCUUCUGCACAAUUCUAAAAGACAAGGAUGUUUUUAAACCCAGCCCCGACACUAUCAUACCUCACAAGAUUCAUGCUAAUUCCUCAGUGUCUUCUAGUCCCAAGUCCAUGCUCAAGUGUCCCCCGCUGUCCAGGCACCCUCUUCAGGGGUCCUCCAUGUUUCAUAGUGAGAAGGGACCCUCAGGGUUGGGCACCCCGGGCAGGCUGGCUGGAGGGGGCUUUGGAAAGGAAGGCUUUGGCGAGGGUGUGAGGGUGCAGGUCCUCACCAGCUCCUGUUUGGUCUGUUUCAGGAACAAAUGUGGUAUCUGGGGCUGGCGGUCGGAGAAGAUGGAAACUGUUAGCGGCUACGAGGCCAAGGCAGGAGAGGCCGGGGGUGGGGGCCAGGGGUAGGCGAUGAGGUCCAGGAACUCAAGGGUGGGGGCGGGGGUAGGCGAUGAGGUCCAGGAACUAGCUCCUCUCCACAUCCAUCCCAGAGUAGCCUUUGGGCUCUGGAAACCCUGAGCAUUUGUGGGAACUCAGCGGGCCUGAGUGCCCAGCCCCUGUGGAAUACAUAGGGCUCACCCACAUCACGGACCCCUACCCAGGGUACCGAGAUCAAAAGAGGAGUGUGUUCCUCUUGACCCUGGGGCUGCAUCUCCUCGUUGGUGACUUCCCGGGGUUCAGACCCUGCCACCUCCUCCAUUUUGGGGAGCAAGAUCUCAUCUGUCUCUGGGACAGGAGGACCUGGGUUCUGCACUGGUGAGGCUGAGUGUGGGAAGCAGGCUCUGAGCCCCCAGCUCCCCGUGUCCCCUGCUCCCCAGGUGUAUAGUGCCACCAACGUGGAGCUGGUGACACGCACGCGCACGGAGCACCUCUCUGAUCAGGACAAGUCGAGGAGCAAAGGUAAACCCAGCUUUGAAGAGCAGCUGCGCCUGGCCCUGGAGUUGUCUUCACGGGAGCAGGAGGAGCGGGAGCGACGCGGGCAGCAGGAGGAGGAGGACUUACAGCGGAUCCUGCAGCUGUCACUCACCGAGCACUGAGCCACAGCCCCGGGAGGGCUGGCCAGGCCACUCCCUGCCCGCUUUUGUAAUUUAUUUAUUUAUAAACUCUCUGCUGCUGAGCUUGGGGCCUGGAGCCCCAGGAAUGGGCAGGCAGGGGAGACUGAGAUGGAAAUAAAGAGACUGCCGCAGC